AUUGAACGCUGGCGGCAGGCCUAACACAUGCAAGUCGGGCGGAUGAAGGGAGCUUGCUCCUGGAUUCAGCGGCGGACGGGUGAGUAAUGUCUAGGAAUCUGCCUGGUAGUGGGGGAUAACGUCCGGAAACGGGCGCUAAUACCGCAUACGUCCUGAGGGAGAAAGUGGGGGAUCUUCGGACCUCACGCUAUCAGAUGAGCCUAGGUCGGAUUAGCUAGUUGGUGGGGUAAAGGCCUACCAAGGCGACGAUCCGUAACUGGUCUGAGAGGAUGAUCAGUCACACUGGAACUGAGACACGGUCCAGACUCCUACGGGAGGCAGCAGUGGGGAAUAUUGGACAAUGGGCGAAAGCCUGAUCCAGCCAUGCCGCGUGUGUGAAGAAGGUCUUCGGAUUGUAAAGCACUUUAAGUUGGGAGGAAGGGCAGUAAGUUAAUACCUUGCUGUUUUAACGUUACCAACAGAAUAAGCACCGGCUAACUUCGUG
RNAcentral lists this ribosomal RNA (484 nucleotides) under uncultured bacterium. RNAcentral describes it as "partial 16S ribosomal RNA". It matches the Rfam family "Bacterial small subunit ribosomal RNA", at positions 30 to 507 of the family's 1533-position model. The record is from RNAcentral.